UUUUCGGAGAGUUUGAUCCUGGCUCAGGACGAACGCUGGCGGCGUGCCUAAUACAUGCAAGUCGAGCGGACAGAAGGGAGCUUGCUCCCGGAUGUUAGCGGCGGACGGGUGAGUAACACGUGGGUAACCUGCCUGUAAGACUGGGAUAACUCCGGGAAACCGGAGCUAAUACCGGAUAGUUCCUUGAACCGCAUGGUUCAAGGAUGAAAGACGGUUUCGGCUGUCACUUACAGAUGGACCCGCGGCGCAUUAGCUAGUUGGUGGGGUAAUGGCUCACCAAGGCGACGAUGCGUAGCCGACCUGAGAGGGUGAUCGGCCACACUGGGACUGAGACACGGCCCAGACUCCUACGGGAGGCAGCAGUAGGGAAUCUUCCGCAAUGGACGAAAGUCUGACGGAGCAACGCCGCGUGAGUGAUGAAGGUUUUCGGAUCGUAAAGCUCUGUUGUUAGGGAAGAACAAGUGCGAGAGUAACUGCUCGCACCUUGACGGUACCUAACCAGAAAGCCACGGCUAACUACGUGCCAGCAGCCGCGGUAAUACGUAGGUGGCAAGCGUUGUCCGGAAUUAUUGGGCGUAAAGGGCUCGCAGGCGGUUUCUUAAGUCUGAUGUGAAAGCCCCCGGCUCAACCGGGGAGGGUCAUUGGAAACUGGGAAACUUGAGUGCAGAAGAGGAGAGUGGAAUUCCACGUGUAGCGGUGAAAUGCGUAGAGAUGUGGAGGAACACCAGUGGCGAAGGCGACUCUCUGGUCUGUAACUGACGCUGAGGAGCGAAAGCGUGGGGAGCGAACAGGAUUAGAUACCCUGGUAGUCCACGCCGUAAACGAUGAGUGCUAAGUGUUAGGGGGUUUCCGCCCCUUAGUGCUGCAGCUAACGCAUUAAGCACUCCGCCUGGGGAGUACGGUCGCAAGACUGAAACUCAAAGGAAUUGACGGGGGCCCGCACAAGCGGUGGAGCAUGUGGUUUAAUUCGAAGCAACGCGAAGAACCUUACCAGGUCUUGACAUCCUCUGACAACCCUAGAGAUAGGGCUUUCCCUUCGGGGACAGAGUGACAGGUGGUGCAUGGUUGUCGUCAGCUCGUGUCGUGAGAUGUUGGGUUAAGUCCCGCAACGAGCGCAACCCUUGAUCUUAGUUGCCAGCAUUCAGUUGGGCACUCUAAGGUGACUGCCGGUGACAAACCGGAGGAAGGUGGGGAUGACGUCAAAUCAUCAUGCCCCUUAUGACCUGGGCUACACACGUGCUACAAUGGACAGAACAAAGGGCUGC
This 1265-nucleotide ribosomal RNA is filed under the name Bacillus safensis. Its description in RNAcentral is "bacterial SSU rRNA". It matches the Rfam family "Bacterial small subunit ribosomal RNA", at positions 1 to 1250 of the family's 1533-position model. Lineage: Bacteria; Bacillati; Bacillota; Bacilli; Caryophanales; Bacillaceae. The record is from RNAcentral.